Molecule: long non-coding RNA, 273 nt
Organism: Choloepus didactylus (southern two-toed sloth)
Lineage: Eukaryota; Metazoa; Chordata; Mammalia; Pilosa; Megalonychidae
Exons: 3
Source: RefSeq, a predicted model, not a curated record
GAAUCACUAGGCUCUGCCCCGAUUCCUCCUCCGUGAACCUCAGCCUGGAAACUCUCUCAAGAAGAUUGCAAAUUCCAGAAUGGCAGGGACCAUGGCUGCUUGUCCGCCCUGAAUCACCAGGCGCAGUGCAGUGACUACAUAUAAAGAUCCCCUGUUGUCAGCAGCAAGGUGGAUAACAGAAAACACCAAUAUCACAGAGGACAGGGAAAGGAGGAUGAGAAUCAGCUUGCAGAUUGCUGACCCCUCUGCUGACCACCCAAAGGCAGAGCUAAA